This 500-nucleotide ribosomal RNA is filed under the name uncultured bacterium. RNAcentral's name for it is "partial 16S ribosomal RNA". It matches the Rfam family "Bacterial small subunit ribosomal RNA", at positions 30 to 523 of the family's 1533-position model. The record is from RNAcentral.
AUUGAACGCUGGCGGCAGGCUUAACACAUGCAAGUCGAGCGGGGGAAGGUAGCUUGCUACUGGACCUAGCGGCGGACGGGUGAGUAAUGCUUAGGAAUCUGCCUAUUAGUGGGGGACAACAUCUCGAAAGGGAUGCUAAUACCGCAUACGUCCUACGGGAGAAAGCAGGGGAUCUUCGGACCUUGCGCUAAUAGAUGAGCCUAAGUCGGAUUAGCUAGUUGGUGGGGUAAAGGCCUACCAAGGCGACGAUCUGUAGCGGGUCUGAGAGGAUGAUCCGCCACACUGGGACUGAGACACGGCCCAGACUCCUACGGGAGGCAGCAGUGGGGAAUAUUGGACAAUGGGGGGACCCUGAUCCAGCCAUGCCGUGUGUGUGAAGAAGGCCUUAUGGUUGUAAAGCACUUUAAGCGAGGAGGAGGCUACUUUAGUUAAUACCUAGAGAUAGUGGACGUUACUCGCAGAAUAAGCACCGGCUAACUCUGUGCCAGCAGCCGCAGUAA